AGUGAACGCUGGCGGUAGGCCUAACACAUGCAAGUCGAACGGCAGCACAGUAAGAGCUUGCUCUUACGGGUGGCGAGUGGCGGACGGGUGAGGAAUACAUCGGAAUCUACUUUUUCGUGGGGGAUAACGUAGGGAAACUUACGCUAAUACCGCAUACGACCUACGGGUGAAAGCAGGGGAUCUUCGGACCUUGCGCGAUUGAAUGAGCCGAUGUCGGUUUAGCUAGUUGGCGGGGUAAAGGCCCACCAAGGCGACGAUCCGUAGCUGGUCUGAGAGGAUGAUAGGCCACACUGGAACUUGGACACGGUCCAGACUCCUGCGGGAGGCAGCAGUGGGGAAUAGUGGACAAUGGGCGCAAGCCUGAUCCAGCCGUACCGCGUGGGUGAAGGAGGCCUUCGGGUUGUAAAGCCCUUUUGUUGGGAAAGAAAAGCAGCAGGUUAAGACCCCGCUGUUCUGACGGUACCCAAAGAAUAAGCACCGGCUAACUUCGUG
This 492-nucleotide ribosomal RNA is filed under the name uncultured bacterium. Its description in RNAcentral is "partial 16S ribosomal RNA". It matches the Rfam family "Bacterial small subunit ribosomal RNA", at positions 29 to 507 of the family's 1533-position model. The record is from RNAcentral.